Molecule: ribosomal RNA, 579 nt
Filed under: uncultured bacterium
Lineage: Bacteria
Description: partial 16S ribosomal RNA
Rfam family: Bacterial small subunit ribosomal RNA
Source: RNAcentral
UGGGGAAUUUUGGACAAUGGGCGAAAGCCUGAUCCAGCAAUGCCGCGUGUGUGAAGAAGGCCUUCGGGUUGUAAAGCACUUUUGUCCGGAAAGAAAUCCUUGGCUCUAAUACAGUCGGGGGAUGACGGUACCGGAAGAAUAAGCACCGGCUAACUACGUGCCAGCAGCCGCGGUAAUACGUAGGGUGCAAGCGUUAAUCGGAAUUACUGGGCGUAAAGCGUGCGCAGGCGGUUUGCUAAGACCGAUGUGAAAUCCCCGGGCUCAACCUGGGAACUGCAUUGGUGACUGGCAGGCUAGAGUAUGGCAGAGGGGGGUAGAAUUCCACGUGUAGCAGUGAAAUGCGUAGAGAUGUGGAGGAAUACCGAUGGCGAAGGCAGCCCCCUGGGCCAAUACUGACGCUCAUGCACGAAAGCGUGGGGAGCAAAACAGGAUUAGAUACCCUGGUAGUCCACGCCCUAAACGAUGUCAACUAGUUGUUGGGGAUUCAUUUCUUAGUAACGUAGCUAACGCGUGAAGUUGACCGCCUGGGGAGUACGGUCGCAAGAUUAAAACUCAAAUGAAUUGACGGGGUCAUAGCUG